CCCGCCUCUACAGGCAUUGCAGCGCGACUGCAGGUGUCGUGUUUGUGCCACUAGGUGGCAAACAGGAAUCUGGCUACAGCUACACUUUGCAUCCUGAUUAGGUGGGUGCUCAGAAAGAUUUAAUAGCCUGACAUG
This is a small nucleolar RNA of Polyodon spathula (Mississippi paddlefish), 135 nucleotides long. RefSeq annotates it as small nucleolar RNA SNORA17. The record is from RefSeq and is a predicted model, not a curated record. The transcript has a single exon. NCBI's taxonomy places the organism in Eukaryota, Metazoa, Chordata, Actinopteri, Acipenseriformes, Polyodontidae.